Molecule: ribosomal RNA, 246 nt
Filed under: uncultured bacterium
Lineage: Bacteria
Description: partial 16S ribosomal RNA
Rfam family: Bacterial small subunit ribosomal RNA
Source: RNAcentral
GUAGGGGGCAAGCGUUAUCCGGAUUUACUGGGUGUAAAGGGAGCGUAGACGGCAUUGCAAGUCUGAUGUGAAAGAUUGGGGCUCAACCCCAGGCCUGCAUUGGAAACUGUAAAGCUGGAGUACAGGAGAGGUAAGCGGAAUUCCUAGUGUAGCGGUGAAAUGCGUAGAUAUUAGGAGGAACACCAGUGGCGAAGGCGGCUUACUGGACCGUAACCGACGUUGAGGCUCGAAAGCGUGGGGAGCAAA